RNAcentral lists this ribosomal RNA (297 nucleotides) under uncultured bacterium. RNAcentral's name for it is "partial 16S ribosomal RNA". It matches the Rfam family "Bacterial small subunit ribosomal RNA", at positions 29 to 314 of the family's 1533-position model. The record is from RNAcentral.
AACGAACGCUGGCGGCGUGCCUAACACAUGCAAGUCGAGCGCGAAUGGAGCAAUCCUAGUAGAGCGGCGCACGGGUGCGUAACACGUGGGUAAUCUGCCUCAAAGCCCGGGAUAACCUGCCGAAAGGCAAGCUAAUACCGGAUAAGCCUACGGACUCUUCGGGGGUCUGAAGGAAAGGUGGCCUCUGUAUACAAGCUAUCACUUUGAGAUGAGCCCGCGGCCCAUCAGCUCGUUGGCGGGGUAACGGCCACCAAGGCAACGACGGGUAGCUGGUCUGAGAGGACGAUCAGCCACACU